GACGAACGCUGGCGGCGUGCUUAACACAUGCAAGUCGAAUGGAAAGGCCCUGCUUUUGUGGGGUGCUCGAGUGGCGAACGGGUGAGUAACACGUGAGUAACCUGCCCUUGACUUUGGGAUAACUUCAGGAAACUGGGGCUAAUACCGGAUAGGAGCUCCUGCUGCAUGGUGGGGGUUGGAAAGUUUCGGCGGUUGGGGAUGGAUUCGCGGCUUAUCAGCUUGUUGGUGGGGUAGUGGCUUACCAAGGCUUUGACGGGUAGCCGGCCUGAGAGGGUGACCGGCCACAUUGGGACUGAGAUACGGCCCAGACUCCUACGGGAGGCAGCAGUGGGGAAUAUUGCACAAUGGGCGGAAGCCUGAUGCAGCAACGCCGCGUGCGGGAUGACGGCCUUCGGGUUGUAAACCGCUUUCGCCUGUGACGAAGCGUGAGUGACGGUAAUGGGUAAAGAAGCACCGGCUAACUACGUG
Molecule: ribosomal RNA, 468 nt
Filed under: uncultured bacterium
Lineage: Bacteria
Description: partial 16S ribosomal RNA
Rfam family: Bacterial small subunit ribosomal RNA
Source: RNAcentral